GAAAAAAAAAAUGCAAAACACUUUUUAUAAGGAGGGAGUUUAUCACGAUCUCAUUGUCUCUCAAUAUUCUCCUCUUCUUUCAUGAAAGUCCUCUUUCUCUUCUCAAACCAAUUCUCUCUAUCUCAAUUUUCAAAUCAAAAGACAAUUUCGUCUUUCAUCAUAACAACAAGCAAGCAUGAAUAUCCAAACAAUCAAACAUACUCACCCAAAAUAUGAUAAAAGAGGGAAAAAUGAAUCUACCCUCUUGACUUCUCAUGGCGGCAAUGGUUACCCAACGACGACACAGUCAAUGCUGGGCGACAGAGUUUGGUGUGAACGACGUCUACGGCGGGCGUGGUCGACUCUGUAGCUGCUACCGGAACAGAUGUCGCGCGGAGGAGAGUGCGGAUGAACGAAGGUCAGUUGUUGGCGGUGGUGCGACGUUGAUGGAAUCAAAACAUUGCCAAAUUCAAAAGAAUAUAGGCCAGUAUCAGCUCAAUAGUGAGCGAUUCACGGUGGUGCUUUGAUUUUGUUUCAGAUUCACUCUAUUUUCACUGCUUUUGUUUCAUUCUUCUCUUUUUUUUGUUAUGAUGUUGUGGUUUAUUGUUCAAUAGCGAUGAAGUGUUGUUUAUGAAUAACUUGUUGGUGAAAAUCUAGUGAUGAAUUUGGAAAGAUUGAAAAUAAAUUGUUUAUGUUGUGUAUGGUUUAGUGUGUUUGUGAAUGAAAGUUAGUGAAAGUUUUAAUGUUAACAAGUUUUGUGAUGAUGGUGUUGUUAUUGCUUUGAAUUUUUUUUACAGGUUUUGGUGAUGUUAGUGUGUUACUGUUAAAAAGAAAUUACAGGUUAGAAAUUGGGAUGGUGUUAGUGGUGGAAAGUUAAAGGUUGUGGGCUUAUGGAGAUUGGUGGUGGAUGAAUGUUCAAUAUGAUUUGAAUGUCUUAAUCUCAUGAAGACCCGGAGGUACAUCAGGUCGCAUGAGCUUCAAUCAUUGAUGAGGAUCUUCGAUAAUGACUGGUUGACUACGACGACGCUUACGACCAAUGAAAACGCAACAUUAGGAGUUUUAUCCACCUUUUCGUGGUCUUGAAACUCUAAAAUUGGUAUAUCUUAUUUAUUUAUAUUGUUGUUGACGAUUUUAGUUAAUUUCGUGGUGGACCCCCUUUAUUGCUAGAAGAUUUGAUACCAACAAAGUCAACAAUGAAGGGUAAGAGACAAUCUGGAUGUUAGAGAAGCUAUGAAAUUUUUGGCGGCUGAAUCAAAAGAUGUUAUUCGUUUGAGUGUAUUUAUUGUUAUGGUUAUUAACUUAUAAUAAGAAGGAUUUUGACUGUUGAAAUUUGUAAGAAUCAUAAGUCAAUUCCUAUAGACGACAAUAUUAUUCUGAUAUAGAAUCAUAAAUGCUUAGUGA
Lathyrus oleraceus (garden pea) is the source of this 1380-nucleotide long non-coding RNA. RefSeq lists it as uncharacterized. Lineage: Eukaryota; Viridiplantae; Streptophyta; Magnoliopsida; Fabales; Fabaceae. The transcript has 2 exons. The record is from RefSeq and is a predicted model, not a curated record.